CUUUCCUGUUUGGAGACAUUUGAUAAAAUUGAAACGAUACAGAGAAGAUUAUCAUGCCCUGCACAAAAAUAAUAUGGUCCAAAUUUUCACAAAACAAUUGGAU
Non-coding RNA from Cucumis sativus (cucumber), 103 nucleotides. The record is from Rfam. NCBI's taxonomy places the organism in Eukaryota, Viridiplantae, Streptophyta, Magnoliopsida, Cucurbitales, Cucurbitaceae.